GACGGAGGGGGCUAGCGUUGUUCGGAAUUACUGGGCGUAAAGGGCGCGUAGGUGGCCAUGUGUGUCAGAGGUGAAAUCCCAGAGCUUAACUUUGGAAUUGCUUUUGAAACUGCAUGGCUUGAGUGAUAGAGAGGUAAGUGGAAUUCCGAGUGUAGCAGUGAAAUGCGUAGAUAUUCGGAGGAACAUCGGUGGCGAAGGCGACUUACUGGCUAUCAACUGACACUGAGGCGCGAAAGCGUGGGGAGCAAACAGG
Molecule: ribosomal RNA, 253 nt
Filed under: uncultured bacterium
Lineage: Bacteria
Description: partial 16S ribosomal RNA
Rfam family: Bacterial small subunit ribosomal RNA
Source: RNAcentral